GCGACAAUUGUCACUUUGGCUAUGCCGGUUAUAUACUAAUAAUUAUGACGGAAAGCGAUAUGUAUAUUAUAACUAGCUUAAGGAAAAAGUUAAAUAAUUCCUUCUCGGGAGCGUGGGCAAUGGGCCGCGUGCUUUUGUAUUCGUUAUGUGUGUUGUGUGUGUUAUGGAGGGGCAUUGGCACCGUGGACUAUUGCCAACAACUUAGGGAAUUGAAGCUUGAAACUGGUCGAGGCAGCGAGAUCCCGGAACGCGUGCUGUCCAUAGACGGCAGAACACGUAUACUCAAGCUAUGUGCGCAAGACUCUGUGCCCACCGCAGCGCGGGCGAUAAUACGAGCAUUGAUCGUACAUGGACUGCGAUAUCGCGAGCUCGAGAUCGUGGAAGAAAAGUGCACGCUACAGCAGCUCCAAGACUUUCAAGAUGAUAUUAAUCUAGAUUCCCACGUCAAUGAUUACUUCGUACUGAGCAUAGCUACAGCAUGGCGUGACGAGGGGACCUCAAUAGCCCAGUGCUCCGAAGGCGCCUGCGGGCUCGCGGGGUCCCGCCUCGAAGUGCUCGGUCGCGGCGCGGCGCCCGUAGCCAGACGACUACUGGCACGUCUGGCGCCCGGGGCUCCGUUUCACUGUCUACAGAGCUGGGAGAAGCUACGGGAACCUGAGUGCGGUUUUAUUGAUGACUUCUCGCCUAAGAAGACACCCUGCAGCGAAUGGACAAAAAAUCCAUGUUCUGGAGAAUGCGUGACUGUGGCGAUAGAGGGAGGAGAUUAUGAGGAAGAACAAUGUGAACUAGCACAAGAACUAGCCAAAGUAACAGAUCUACCACUGCGUCUAACUUAUUCUUUGAAUUAUUCAAUAGAAGAGCGCGCCGACAGCUCGUACCUCUUAUUUGACUUCGAUAUUUUGAUGGGCAGCAAGGAGCGAAUAUGGCCUGCACCCUUUCAUCCGAACCUCACUCAGGAUGCCGCUUCUUUGUCAUUGGGAGAUGUUAGAAGACUACUGUAUUUUGCUCCUGCAGUUCUGAACCUCGCAUACCGCUUCCAGCCACCAGCUUCGAUGUUGCGUCGUGUUCUAGACAAUAAUAGAAAACUUGGAAUUGACACAGCGGCUUGUAAAACCAUCGUCGAAUCUAAAAACUCCCAAGACCUCGCUCGCUCCUGGAUCACAUGCAAUGACAAAUUUUGCGACUUGAAACCUGAGGUGUUCAUUUAUGUAUGUGAAGCGGAAGAAAAUAAAGAUAAACGGUACGAUACUAUCAGAAGAAUAGUAAAAAACCACUGGUUAAACAUUACUAAUCGAAGUAGUAUAUUGGAGCUGCGGUAUGUGGAGAUAAAUUGUUCUCUAACCGAUGUAGUCAGAGGCGAUUUGGAAAAUUUUAUGACGAAUUACGAGUAUGUAAGCGUGCGUGGUGUGGUGGCCAUGGGAUCGGCAGGAGCGUCGUCGCUGCCGAAAUUUGCGCGGGAGUCGGCCAAGGUCCCUCUGGUGCUGGUGGCGCCGCCGCCAAGCGGCGUGGAGCUGGCGAGCGCACGGAUUACGGCAGCGUCAGCGGCAGCGCUGGCGGCGGCGGUGCGCGCGCUGCUGGCUGACUGCAAGUGGCGGCGCGUCGCACUUCUCAGAGAAGAGGGUCGAUGCGAUGUAUGGAAGCGGUCACUGGGCGUAGCAGAGGCGUUAAACGAGCAAGACCUUGUAGUGUACCAGGACAUCGUGCAAGCGCAUAACGUGACGGGCACACUUGACGCACUACAAACGCACGAUGCGCGCAUCGUUGUGAUAGACGCUAGUGCGGGCACAGCGUGGAUCGUGCUAGCAACAGCGGAGAAACGGGGGCUGACGAUGGAAGCUGGGUUUGUGUGGAUCGUCAUCGGCGCGGCGGGAGACACUUCCAAUUCGGACUGGCUGCCAACGACUUCAGAGUUCUCUUACUUCACUGUCAGCGGUGGCUGGCGCGGCGGCCAAGCUCCAAACAGCCUGCUCCCCUCCUCGACACUACGCGACGCUUUAGACAACGAGUUCCCAAGAUGGCCGCCACACACAUCCGCGCUCGUCGACGCCAUUUUGUUGAUGCUUGAGGGCACGACGCGAUUGGAAGAAAGGCAUCCGGAGCUCAGAGAUGAUCCGCAUCGCCCCGGAGUAACAGAAGAAUUCAAAGAUAUCCUCGACAACAUCACAGUGCAGGGUGUGACUCAUGAUAUACACAAGAAUUCAGCUCCGCCCGUGUUCACACACCGCUGGUCAAAGAGCGGUGCACAACUUGUCGGCGCGUGGAAUGGUCAGAAGAAUAUACAUGUUGUUAAAGAUCAGCUGUGCGGUAAAGUGCUCGACGGUCCCGGUUGCUACACCACCCGGUCCGGUAACAUCUUUAACCCCCACUGCCACGAUUUCGCCUGGGUCAUACUAGUUUGCGCUCUGGCGUUCGGACUGCCGUCUCUCUACGCCGCCCGCGCCGCACGCCGACGCCGUUUACAACUCAGAGACCGCGCCGUAGAAGAGCGCGUUUUGCUCCGCGGCGGCCAAUCCGCCGCCGAGGCCGCCGCUGGCGCCGCUUUGGCCGAACACGCCGUUCCUCGCGAAGCCUUGCAAUUGCUGGAUAAGUUGGGCACUGGACAUUAUGGGGUUGUGCAUCAGGCUGUGUUACGCCGCCCGAAUAGAGCUGCGCUUGGAGUUGCUGUCAAGGCACCCCGUCCAGAAGCACCAGUCGGUGCAGCCGCUGAGCUACUUCGCGAAGCGGCGCUUCUUGCGACAUUAAAACACGACCAUGUAGUGCGUUUCACAGGCGUGUGCUGGGAAGGAGGGCCCCUAGUACUAAUGGAGCACGCCUUUUAUGGCGACUUGCGACGGUACACAGAGACGUUCGGGCCGCUAACUGCCUAAUAGACGUUCGUCGAUGUCUGAAACUGGCCGAUUUCGGGAUGGCAAGGCGUUUGGACAGUCCGGGGAAGGGAGAAUAUUUAUGCAAGCGUCGUGCCAUGUUUCCGGUCCUAUGGAUGGCGCCAGAAUCCCUCUCCCGUGGCGUUUUCUCCGCAGCAAGUGACGUAUGGGCACUAGGGGUGCUGUUACUAGAACUAGCCACGUUAGGAGAGCGGCCAUACGGCGCAUGGAUCACGCCUCGAGUUU
This 3110-nucleotide unclassified non-coding RNA is filed under the name Leguminivora glycinivorella. RNAcentral's name for it is "uncharacterized LOC125227206, transcript variant X1". The record is from RNAcentral. Lineage: Eukaryota; Metazoa; Arthropoda; Insecta; Lepidoptera; Tortricidae.